ACCCCCAACCCCGCGCCGGGGAGCUGUUAGAGGGCCGCCCGGAGCCCCGCGGCGGCAAGGCUGGGCCGCGGGUGCUGGCGGGCUCAAACUGCAAAUUCACUCUCCCACCAAAGGGACAAAAAAAGACGUACACGGCUCAGCUGACGGGCGCAGAGAAAGACUGGUGCUCCACGGAGCUCAAAAGUCAAGUCUUACUUCUCUGAGGUGUCUGCGUACCUUGGGCCAAUGUAAAAUGCACUUGAUGCUGCUUCUGCCUGAGCAGGAUACCGCUGAAAUCGAAUAAUUGCAGAUUCUUUGGCAUGCUGAUACAAGCCUGAGCGAAAAGUGUUUCAUGUAACUUCAUGGUUGAUGAGAGGCAUGUUGCUGACAUCAUGGGAGUUGAUUCUGAUAUGUCAAGCUGAUCACUAUAUCAUCAAUGCUGCAUCACUGGUUUCUUCAAGAUUGCAGUCUGAUCAGCACAAGCAUCGUGUCUGCUGUAAUGGAUCCCAGCCUCAGUCAGCACUCAAGAUUGACAGAUACUGGGAAUCUUGUACCAGAAUGGGGAAGACACUGGAGCAUGAAUAAAAGCUAUAAAGCACUUUGCCAUAUCAUCUAUCUUCAUUGUCCCUGCUGGAAGCCACAGAAGCAGAGGACACACCCAGGCUGGGAACCAAAACCACCUAGCAACCAUAGCCUGAAUGACAGCUUGAAACACUCUGCCAUUUCAUGUAUCUUCUGUGUCCCUCCUGGCAACUAGAAGAACAGCAGUUGAAGGCACACCCCAUCUGGAAACCGGAAACACCCAGCACUGGACCCUGAGUGAAAGCCUGAAAGAAAGUAAUCCCUUUCAGCUCCUGUUUCUUGUCAGCAGCGCAUAAAUGUUUUGAAAUUUCUUAUAAAAGCAGGUUUUCGGCUUCUGAUAAAGUCUAAUAUUGAUGUAAAGUCUGGUCUCCCAGAAAGGCCUUGCUCUGUGACUGGGCAUUUUGUUGACAUUUUAUCCUUGGGUCAGUACAUCCAUUGUUGCUGCAGCUUAGACAACUGGAAAUUGGAAACCCAUUCGUCAUGUUAAGUUGCUUACUAGAAUAAAAAUACAAGGACAGAAUAAAAAUACAAGGAAGCUACUAUAGCCAGUCUUUCCAUCUCCCCAGUGAAAGUGAGCUCAUUGAUUUCUCCAUGGAGGUGAAUACCAAAAAGCAUUAUCCAGUGGUUAGAGUACAAGACUGAAAGUGAAAGUACAUGUUUUCUCCUCACAGGCCUGCAGCAUUAGCUAGGUGAGCAGUAGUUGGCAAGAAGCUUAGUGUUUCACAUUAUAUGUGAAACUGGUGGACAUACAGAUGCAAAGCAUUACUUCACCUAAGGAAAUAAAGCUCAUAUGGCUGAGAUGUCUGUCAUUUCACUCUUUUUAUUUUUUUACUCAACCAGCAACUUUAAAUUUGACAGAGCAUGAGGGCAUUAGUAGUUAUGAAGUUAUUGAAAUUUCCUGAAAAUUGUCAAAUAAGCAGAGGGAGCAGAGGGAGAUCCAAAUUGGCACUCCCAUUCCCUCCUCACUGACCCUUCAGGGAAAUGCUGUAGCAUAAGCCCAACAGUUACUUGUUCUCUUUGUCCUUCUGACUGUGCAGUCGUUAGGUGCAUCACAUCUAAUCCAUCUACACACGUGGAGCUACAGCUCAACCAUUGCACAUGCUAUUUCUCCUCAGCUUUUAAAGGGAUACAGGAGAAAGCUAUGGGUGCUGUAGGAUGCAGAGGGAGAACUUAGAUGAUCCGCAUAAGGGAACUUGGAUAUUUGUCCUCAUUUCUUAAGGAGGACAUAGGAUACAAUUCCAUAAAAAAAACAGGCUUCAUCAUAGGUUCCUCUGCUUAUGGAAUAGCUUGUUGCUAUUAAUUGGUCGUGACCUAUCAUGAUUUUAAAUUCAAAAGCAAUUUAUUUAUGUUCCCUUGUUCUUAUACAAUGAGACUGGGUGCAAGGCUUCAGGUCAAAGUUAUGUCCCCUUCAAGAAGGUGUUUUCAUCUGGUCUUUUUAUUUCAUGUUUGCAGUAGAGCAUUCACUGCAGUUACCACAUUUCAACCAAACAGGCAGUGACCUCUAGCUGAGGGGUGGUAAUUCAUUAAAUCACAUAGUUUUCUUACUUAAUAUAGUCUGGCUUACCAUGAGAAAAAAAACAAAGUUUUAGGGUAACCUGCCAAGAAAGUGACUCCAAUUUAAAUUAAGGUGAUGCAGUAU
Dromaius novaehollandiae (emu) is the source of this 2200-nucleotide long non-coding RNA. RefSeq lists it as uncharacterized. Lineage: Eukaryota; Metazoa; Chordata; Aves; Casuariiformes; Dromaiidae. The record is from RefSeq and is a predicted model, not a curated record. The transcript is spliced from 4 exons.